Phalacrocorax carbo (great cormorant) is the source of this 1219-nucleotide non-coding RNA. The record is from RefSeq and is a predicted model, not a curated record. NCBI's taxonomy places the organism in Eukaryota, Metazoa, Chordata, Aves, Suliformes, Phalacrocoracidae.
GGGUAAUAUAGCAGAAGACGAAACAAAGAAAUAGCUUUAUGUGUGGCACACCAAAAUUCACUUGCUGGCUGAAGCGUGGAAGUGACAAAGGCAGAAACAGCUGAGUGUGCAGCUAACGGAUUGCCUGGGAUUAGUGCUUUUUGGAGUAGCGAGGCUGUGUUGCUGAGACUAUGUUUGCAUAAAUAUAUGUCUGUUUCUAUGCUGCUAGAAUUACGGGCCAUGCUUGAAGGCAUUUAAGAAGUGUUUUCAUUGUCUUUUUUUGGUCUUCCGACAGGGGAGGUGGUGGUGGGAUACCAUUGUCCCGCUCGGUCGCUGGGAGAAAAUGAUGAAUUAGCAUAACUGUGAUCUGCUCUUCAAACCUCUCUGAAGAAGGCAGUACUGGCAGAAGUGAGGAUUACCAGUCCCUCAGUAGCUUCCUGGCUGCUGCGGGGAACCAUUACCUUUGAGGAAAUGUCUUUCCAGCGGGUCUUGCCUGAGGCUCCAGCUCUGCCUGAUCUGCUAGCUCAUAUAGAAGUCAGACGUCAGGACUUCUGUCUUCCUGGAAGACUGGCCCUUCGAAAGCAAUUUGUCCCGUAUCCACUUUGAGUCCUGUUGUGGUGAGAAGGCUUAUUGACUAAAACACCCUGAAAAAUGUGAUCUGGAUGUGAGCAUGCAGCUGCAGAUGUUACCACAGCUUAGAAGAGAGAAGUACUUGCGUCCAAGAUACCGCAGCUACCCAUCCAACCUAGAGCAGAUGACCUGCUUGCUAGGACAGUGCAUGUGAGAACAUGCCCUCCAAUUUUUCUGAGCUUCUGAAAAAGUUUGCCUCAGCUGGUGAGGAAAAUGCUUUCCUUGGUGUUCAGAGAUUGCAGUGAAGUGGGACACUCUUCCCUGGAGGUGUUGACAGACACCAAGAAUCCCAGAAGUUUCUCAAAAAGGCAGUUGUGGGAUGUUACAGUACCCGGCCUAAUGCAGCGGGAUCUGCACUGCAUCCUAGCCAGCCUGCUGUCUGAGGGCUGUUGCGAGAGCGCCUUGUGCUCCAGCUGUCUGCCCCGCGUUGGAAGCUGCAGUAUAGCUCUAUCUCCAGUGACCACCCAGCUGUGUACAGUCGUGAGGCACAAUAAGAGGUGAAGGCUGUAAGGGACCUCUGGCAGUGGAGGUGCCAGACAUGAAAAGAGAAGAAUCCAAGUAAGAAAAAUCCUUCCACCCUGAGGGGAAGAAUUAAGGGCAUCACUGCACA